This 253-nucleotide ribosomal RNA is filed under the name uncultured bacterium. RNAcentral describes it as "partial 16S ribosomal RNA". It matches the Rfam family "Bacterial small subunit ribosomal RNA", at positions 524 to 776 of the family's 1533-position model. The record is from RNAcentral.
UACGUAGGUGGCAAGCGUUGUCCGGAUUUACUGGGCGUAAAGAGCGCGCAGGCGGUCGUUCAAGUCGCGUGUGAAAGCCCCCGGCUCAACUGGGGAGGGUCACGCGAUACUGAUCGACUCGAAGGCAGGAGAGGGUAGUGGAAUUCCCGGUGUAGUGGUGAAAUGCGUAGAUAUCGGGAGGAACACCAGUGGCGAAGGCGACUACCUGGCCUGUUCUUGACGCUGAGACGCGAAGGCGUGGGGAGCGAACGGG